CAGUCGCCGCGGGAAUACAGAGGGUGCGAGCGUUAAUCGGAUUUACUGGGCGUAAAGCGUGCGUAGGCGGCUUCUUAAGUCGGAUGUGAAAUCCCUGAGCUUAACUUAGGAAUUGCAUUUGAUACUGGGAAGCUAGAGUAUGGGAGAGGAUGGUAGAAUUCCAGGUGUAGCGGUGAAAUGCGUAGAGAUCUGGAGGAAUACCGAUGGCGAAGGCAGCCAUCUGGCCUAAUACUGACGCUGAGGUACGAAAGCAUGGGGAGCAAACAGGAUUAGAUACCCCCGUAGUCCCUGUCUCUUAUAC
This 301-nucleotide ribosomal RNA is filed under the name uncultured bacterium. RNAcentral's name for it is "partial 16S ribosomal RNA". It matches the Rfam family "Bacterial small subunit ribosomal RNA", at positions 509 to 807 of the family's 1533-position model. The record is from RNAcentral.